This 558-nucleotide ribosomal RNA is filed under the name Lovellona atramentosa. Its description in RNAcentral is "partial 12S ribosomal RNA". The record is from RNAcentral. Lineage: Eukaryota; Metazoa; Mollusca; Gastropoda; Neogastropoda; Turridae.
UACCAAAAAAUUAAAUUAUAUUAAUAAUGGUAAAAAGAUAGUUAUAUAUAUAUUUUUGAAAAAAGUUAAUUAAUUAUAACAUAUAAGAGUGAAAUCUGAAUAUGUAUAUCACUCUGGAAUUAACUUAAGAAGAAUUGAAGCUAUGAAAUCCUUGAGGGAAACUGGGAUUGGAUACCCCAUUAUUCAAGGGAAUAAAUUGAUUAGAAGUUUACCAGAGUACUACGAAUAAAACAAUUUAAAACUCAAAGGACUUGGCGGUGUCCUAGACCACUUAGGGGAACCUGUCUCGUAAUCGACAAUCCACGUUAAACCUGACCUUUUUUUGUACAGUUUGUAUACCGUCGUCGCCAGGUAACUUUUUAGAAUAUAUAAGUUAGCGAGCGAGCAUUAAAUAAGCUGAAACGUCAGAUCAAGGUGCAGCCAAUAAGAAGGGGAAGAUGGGUUACAAUUAUAAAUUUAUAAUAACGGAAAAGUUUCUAGAAUUAGGACUUUAUGAAGGAGAACUUAAAAGUAAAGCAUGUUGUAUAUAAACUUCUUGAAUUAGGCUCUGGGACGCGC